CCUACGGGCGGCUGCAGUGGGGAAUAUUGGGCAAUGGGCGCAAGCCUGACCCAGCAACGCCGCGUGAAGGAAGAAGGCUUUCGGGUUGUAAACUUCUUUUCUCAGGGACGAAGCAAGUGACGGUACCUGAGGAAUAAGCCACGGCUAACUACGUGCCAGCAGCCGCGGUAAUACGUAGGUGGCAAGCGUUAUCCGGAUUUACUGGGUGUAAAGGGCGUGUAGGCGGGAAAGCAAGUCAGAUGUGAAAACCAUGGGCUCAACCUGUGGCCUGCAUUUGAAACUGUUUUUCUUGAGUGCUGGAGAGGCAAUCGGAAUGCCGGGUGUAGCGGUGAAAUGCGUAGAUAUACGGAGGAACACCAGUGGCGAAGGCGGAUUGCUGGACAGUAACUGACGCUGAGGCGCGAAAGCGUGGGGAGCAAACAGGAUUAGAUACCCGAGUAGUC
This 443-nucleotide ribosomal RNA is filed under the name uncultured bacterium. RNAcentral's name for it is "partial 16S ribosomal RNA". It matches the Rfam family "Bacterial small subunit ribosomal RNA", at positions 338 to 795 of the family's 1533-position model. The record is from RNAcentral.